This 386-nucleotide unclassified non-coding RNA is filed under the name soil metagenome. RNAcentral's name for it is "partial contains 5.8S ribosomal RNA, internal transcribed spacer 2, and large subunit ribosomal RNA". The stretch from base 1 to 120 matches the Rfam family "5.8S ribosomal RNA", at positions 35 to 154 of the family's 154-position model. The record is from RNAcentral.
GAUGAAGAACGUAGCGAAAUGCGAUAAGUAAUGUGAAUUGCAGAAUUCAGUGAAUCAUCGAAUCUUUGAACGCACCUUGCACCCUUUGGUAUUCCGAAGGGUAUGCUCGUUUGAGUGUCAUUGUACUCUCACACUUCUAAUUCCUUUCGGGAUUGGGAGCGGUGGACUUGGGUGUUGCUGCUUUAGUUGUGGCUCACCUCAAAUAAGUUAGUGCAACUCUUGGUUGGACAUAGUACGGCGUGAUAAGUGUCUUCGCCGGCGCCUCUGUAAGGAGGGUGGCCGAUCGGGAGCUCUGUGCUUCAAACCGUCUUCGGACAAUCUUUGACAACUUGACCUCAAAUCGAGUAGGACUACCCGCUGAACUUAAGCAUAUCAUAAGCGGAGGA